AACGUAGGUUCCGAGCGUUAUCCGGAUUUACUGGGCGUAAAGCGCGUUCAGGCGGUUUGGCAAGUCGGGCAUGAAAUCCUUCGGCUCAACCGGGGGAGGUUGUCCGAUACUGCUGAACUGGAGGGCAGUAGAGGGUGGUGGAAUUCCGGGUGUAGUGGUGAAAUGCGUAGAGAUCCGGAGGAACACCUGCGGCGAAGGCGGGUUGCUGGGCCGACACUGACGCUGAUGCGCGAAAGCCAGGGGAGCGAACGGG
RNAcentral lists this ribosomal RNA (253 nucleotides) under uncultured bacterium. RNAcentral describes it as "partial 16S ribosomal RNA". It matches the Rfam family "Bacterial small subunit ribosomal RNA", at positions 524 to 776 of the family's 1533-position model. The record is from RNAcentral.